GGUAAUAGUUAAAUAUAACAUUUGAUUUGCAUUCAAAAGGUGUUGACUUUUCAACUUACCUU
RNAcentral lists this transfer RNA (62 nucleotides) under Hemicordulia tau. RNAcentral's name for it is "tRNA-Ala". It matches the Rfam family "tRNA". From Rfam's summary of the family: Transfer RNA (tRNA) molecules are approximately 80 nucleotides in length. Their secondary structure includes four short double-helical elements and three loops (D, anti-codon, and T loops). Further hydrogen bonds mediate the characteristic L-shaped molecular structure. tRNAs have two regions of fundamental functional importance: the anti-codon, which is responsible for specific mRNA codon recognition, and the 3' end, to which the tRNAs corresponding amino acid is attached (by aminoacyl-tRNA synthetases). tRNAs cope with the degeneracy of the genetic code in two manners: having more than one tRNA (with a specific anti-codon) for a particular amino acid; and 'wobble' base-pairing, i.e. permitting non-standard base-pairing at the 3rd anti-codon position. Lineage: Eukaryota; Metazoa; Arthropoda; Insecta; Odonata; Corduliidae. The record is from RNAcentral.